RNAcentral lists this ribosomal RNA (134 nucleotides) under uncultured eukaryote. Its description in RNAcentral is "partial small subunit ribosomal RNA". It matches the Rfam family "Eukaryotic small subunit ribosomal RNA", at positions 1651 to 1780 of the family's 1831-position model. The record is from RNAcentral.
CCCUGCCCUUUGUACACACCGCCCGUCGCUCCUACCGAUUGAAUGGUCCGGUGAAGUGUUCGGAUCGCGGCGACGGGGGCGGUUCGCCGCCCCCGACGUCGCGAGAAGUCCAUUGAACCUUAUCAUUUAGAGGA